Molecule: ribosomal RNA, 497 nt
Filed under: uncultured bacterium
Lineage: Bacteria
Description: partial 16S ribosomal RNA
Rfam family: Bacterial small subunit ribosomal RNA
Source: RNAcentral
GAUGAACGCUGGCGGCGUGCCUAAUACAUGCAAGUCGAGCGAACAGAUAAGGAGCUUGCUCCUUUGACGUUAGCGGCGGACGGGUGGGUAACACGUGGGUAACCUACCUAUAAGACUGGGAUAACUUCGGGAAACCGGAGCUAAUACCGGAUAACAUUUGGAACCGCAUGGUUCUAAAGUGAAAGAUGGUUUUGCUAUCACUUAUAGAUGGGCCCGCGCCGUAUUAGCUAGUUGGUAAGGUAACGGCUUACCAAGGCGACGAUACGUAGCCGACCUGAGAGGGUGAUCGGCCACACUGGAACUGAGACACGGUCCAGACUCCUACGGGAGGCAGCAGUAGGGAAUCUUCCGCAAAGGGCGAAAGCCUGACGGAGCAACGCCGCGUGAGUGAUGAAGGGUUUCGGCUCGUAAAACUCUGUUAUUAGGGAAGAACAAAUGUGUAAGUAACUGUGCACGUCUUGACGGUACCUAAUCAGAAAGCCACGGCUAACUACGUG